CCGCCGGUGGUGUAAUGGCGUAGAGCAUUCCCGCCCGGUCAGAGGGAGGUGCGGGUUCGAGUCCCGCCUGGCGCU
Non-coding RNA from Heligmosomoides polygyrus, 75 nucleotides. NCBI's taxonomy places the organism in Eukaryota, Metazoa, Nematoda, Chromadorea, Rhabditida, Heligmosomidae. The record is from Rfam.